This 108-nucleotide small RNA is filed under the name Rhizobium sp. SG570. Its description in RNAcentral is "sRNA Atu_At1". It matches the Rfam family "Rhizobiales sRNA Atu_At1". Lineage: Bacteria; Pseudomonadati; Pseudomonadota; Alphaproteobacteria; Hyphomicrobiales; Rhizobiaceae. RNAcentral also lists the same sequence under 1 other name. The record is from RNAcentral.
UUGCGGGUCGUGCCAAGCGGACGCGAUGGCACCGAAGAAUAUGGAGAUUUUUCCGCUUUCUCUCCAUAGCCAACGAAAUGGCAGGCGAGCUUCUCACCCAUCCGAUCG